ACUUAAAUUGAAGAGUUUGAUCAUGGCUCAGAUUGAACGCUGGCGGCAGGCCUAACACAUGCAAGUCGAACGGUAGCACAGAGAGCUUGCUCUCGGGUGACGAGUGGCGGACGGGUGAGUAAUGUCUGGGAAACUGCCUGAUGGAGGGGGAUAACUACUGGAAACGGUAGCUAAUACCGCAUAACGUCGCAAGACCAAAGAGGGGGACCUUCGGGCCUCUUGCCAUCAGAUGUGCCCAGAUGGGAUUAGCUAGUAGGUGGGGUAAAGGCUCACCUAGGCGACGAUCCCUAGCUGGUCUGAGAGGAUGACCAGCCACACUGGAACUGAGACACGGUCCAGACUCCUACGGGAGGCAGCAGUGGGGAAUAUUGCACAAUGGGCGCAAGCCUGAUGCAGCCAUGCCGCGUGUAUGAAGAAGGCCUUCGGGUUGUAAAGUACUUUCAGCGGGGAGGAAGGUGUUGUGGUUAAUAACCGCAGCAAUUGACGUUACCCGCAGAAGAAGCACCGGCUAACUCCGUGCCAGCAGCCGCGGUAAUACGGAGGGUGCAAGCGUUAAUCGGAAUUACUGGGCGUAAAGCGCACGCAGGCGGUCUGUCAAGUCGGAUGUGAAAUCCCCGGGCUCAACCUGGGAACUGCAUUCGAAACUGGCAGGCUAGAGUCUUGUAGAGGGGGGUAGAAUUCCAGGUGUAGCGGUGAAAUGCGUAGAGAUCUGGAGGAAUACCGGUGGCGAAGGCGGCCCCCUGGACAAAGACUGACGCUCAGGUGCGAAAGCGUGGGGAGCAAACAGGAUUAGAUACCCUGGUAGUCCACGCCGUAAACGAUGUCGACUUGGAGGUUGUGCCCUUGAGGCGUGGCUUCCGGAGCUAACGCGUUAAGUCGACCGCCUGGGGAGUACGGCCGCAAGGUUAAAACUCAAAUGAAUUGACGGGGGCCCGCACAAGCGGUGGAGCAUGUGGUUUAAUUCGAUGCAACGCGAAGAACCUUACCUACUCUUGACAUCCAGAGAACUUUCCAGAGAUGGAUUGGUGCCUUCGGGAACUCUGAGACAGGUGCUGCAUGGCUGUCGUCAGCUCGUGUUGUGAAAUGUUGGGUUAAGUCCCGCAACGAGCGCAACCCUUAUCCUUUGUUGCCAGCGGUCCGGCCGGGAACUCAAAGGAGACUGCCAGUGAUAAACUGGAGGAAGGUGGGGAUGACGUCAAGUCAUCAUGGCCCUUACGAGUAGGGCUACACACGUGCUACAAUGGCGCAUACAAAGAGAAGCGAACUCGCGAGAGCAAGCGGACCUCAUAAAGUGCGUCGUAGUCCGGAUUGGAGUCUGCAACUCGACUCCAUGAAGUCGGAAUCGCUAGUAAUCGUAGAUCAGAAUGCUACGGUGAAUACGUUCCCGGGCCUUGUACACACCGCCCGUCACACCAUGGGAGUGGGUUGCAAAAGAAGUAGGUAGCUUAACCUUCGGGAGGGCGCUUACCACUUUGUGAUUCAUGACUGGGGUGAAGUCGUAACAAGGUAACCGUAGGGGAACCUGCGGUUGGAUCACCUCCUUACCUUAAAGAA
This 1554-nucleotide ribosomal RNA is filed under the name Enterobacter ludwigii. RNAcentral describes it as "bacterial SSU rRNA". It matches the Rfam family "Bacterial small subunit ribosomal RNA". The record is from RNAcentral. Lineage: Bacteria; Pseudomonadati; Pseudomonadota; Gammaproteobacteria; Enterobacterales; Enterobacteriaceae.